AUUGAACGCUGGCGGCAGGCCUAACACAUGCAAGUCGAGCGGAUGAAGGGAGCUUGCUCCUGGAUUCAGCGGCGGACGGGUGAGUAAUGCCUAGGAAUCUGCCUGGUAGUGGGGGAUAACGUCCGGAAACGGGCGCUAAUACCGCAUACGUCCUGAGGGAGAAAGUGGGGGAUCUUCGGACCUCACGCUAUCAGAUGAGCCUAGGUUGGAUUAGCUAGUUGGUGGGGUAAAGGCCUACCAAGGCGACGAUCCGUAACUGGUCUGAGAGGAUGAUCAGUCACACUGGAACUGAGACACGGUCCAGACUCCUACGGGAGGCAGCAGUGGGGAAUAUUGGACAAUGGGCGAAAGCCUGAUCCAGCCAUGCCGCGUGUGUGACGAAGGUCUUCGGAUUGUAAAGCACUUUAAGUUGGGAGGAAGGGCAGUAAGUUAAUACCUUGCUGUUUUGACGUUACCAACAGAAUAAGCACCGGCUAACUUCGUG
This 484-nucleotide ribosomal RNA is filed under the name uncultured bacterium. RNAcentral describes it as "partial 16S ribosomal RNA". It matches the Rfam family "Bacterial small subunit ribosomal RNA", at positions 30 to 507 of the family's 1533-position model. The record is from RNAcentral.